GCUGCCCAGGAUACACUGUUGGUGUGUAGUGGACGGGAUGGUGAGGAGGAUGAAUGGGGUGGUAGAAACGGAGCCGCUCAUGCCCACAGGGGAGGGGGCAAUGGCUCUGCCACACGAGGGGCCCAAGUGCCUGCUGUCCCCAUCUCAGAGCCCCCACUUCAGCCCUCGGACAUGGAUGCCGGUUGGUGGCCAAAUACACUUCCUGCAAUUUUUUAUGUAAUAACGAUCCACUUUGUAAUUGAGGGAUUUCCUAAAUUCUGGAUGUCUUUGUGAAGUCACCAGAAAGAACAUUCUAUGACAUGCUGUUUUGGGAGUCUAGAGGACGGGACCGAUGAGCACAGCCUGAGCUUUGGCCAAUCACUGGACUGUCUGGAGAAGAGGCGGAUCCUCCUCACAGAUUCUGGAUUCCUAAGAAUGCCCCAAAAGCUGAUUUCAGAAGUGGACUCGAGAUGACAGAACAAGGUUAAUGUUCUGUUCAAUACUUAUUUCUGUCCCUUCACCACCAAUCCUGCUCUUACUGUAUUCCACUUAACCUUAUGCAAGAAGAGGAAUUCCCAGGUGAAAUUUUAAACAUUCACCCAACAUUGUAUGACUAUCUUAACAAGACAGGACCUAGCUUUUCUCUAUCAAGUUGGGAAGACAGCGCAAGGAAGGAGCGCCCAGUGCUACCCAUUGGGUAACUGUCCUCUGACUUCGGGCUCUCCUGUUCUGAUGGGUCGCCCAGAUCACAGCCACUCAGGUAAACAUGCACACCCAUCAGUCAUGCUGAGAGCAAGUGGGUCUUGGGACAGGAAGUGAGGAGAAGCAAGAUCAGGCAUGGAGGGAAGCUUGGGCUGAGAAAUUUCUCUGGAUCCUCUCACAUCUGCACAAGACCUGUACAGGGGAAGUUCUGGAGGGUGCGAGAAAGAAGACCUUGGCCGAAGAGAUGCACCGAGCACCACACAGGGUGCAAAGCUUGCCACUGGACAGCCAGCUUGCUAUCAGCAUGGGCCAGUCUGUGGGUUUUUCGGGCGGAGAGCCCACUUGCUGUAAUUCUGUGUUGCAAUUCUCCUCCAUCGAUUUGAACCUCUGUGAAAAUCUUAUUAAACUUCAUCGACUGAACUUAGAUUUGAUAGAGGUAUGCGGCUUGUGGCUGG
This is a non-coding RNA of Oryctolagus cuniculus (rabbit), 1136 nucleotides long. The record is from RefSeq and is a predicted model, not a curated record. Lineage: Eukaryota; Metazoa; Chordata; Mammalia; Lagomorpha; Leporidae.